GGACGGACAGCAAAGCUAACAGUGUUCUUUUGUUGUUUAACAUGGACUUCAUAUAUGCCUGAUUUUUAGGAGCUCAUCACAACGGGACAGCAUACAUUUCACAUACACAAGGGUCAAUAAGCUGUCCAGAAAUACCUACAGCAGCGGGAGCAAUAAGACCAAGCCUUACAUUAGACCUGAGACAGAGUACGCAGCGUGUCAAGAACCGGGGCCAUCCAGAAUAACACAGACCAAUGUGUGAGUGUAGUCAUAAAUAAAUCAAAAGACCCAAACAUAUCCUGUUGUUUUGAAAUGAUACACUGUGUGUGUGUGUGUGUGUGUGUGUGUGUGUGUGUGUACGGGUUCGUACUAUCCUGGUGGGGACCAAAAUCUGACAUUUACUAUCCUGGUGGGGACUUUCUGCACCGUGGGGACCAAAAUCCAGGUCCCCUCGGGGUUGAAAGCAAUUUUCACACUCAAAAUGCGGUUUUACUGUCAGGGUUACAAUUAGGUUAUGGUUAGGUUUAGGGUAAGGGUUAGGGUUAGGCAUUCAUUUUUAAUGGUUAGGGUUAGGGUAAGGGGCUAGGGAAAGCAUUAUGUCAAUGGGAUGUCCCCACGAAGAUAGCAAACCAGACGUGUGUGUGUGUGUGUGUGUGUGUGUGUGUGUGUGUGUGUGUGUGUGUGUGUGUGUGUGUUUAACACACGUCUAUCUCCACAGCAAUCACACAACCCCUUCCCACGAUGCGGACCAUGACGACCCCUUGAUGCUUUUGGAAUAUAUACGCGAUAUUGAACUCCCAGAACAACAAGAAAAACCACAAGCUUUGUGCAACAAUGGAGACUAAGAACCAUUCUUCAUCACCGGACCAUACAUACACGCGAGUGCCUGCCUUGUGAUUUCAGCGAUAUUCCUGAGUACAGCCUAUCAGAUUUCAAUAUAGUUGACAUACCCACUACGCCAGAAUGUCUCAGAAACAACAGUGAUACAGACAUAGGUUUUGAAGAAGGCUGCAUAACAGACUCGCAAAUAUCACAGACAUAUAACGCAUACUUAAAUGCAGCAAACACCUCUAAUUUUGAUCAGAGCCAUUCUGCUUCAAACAACGAUAUACUAUCUUUGAUCGAUGCUAAACUCAGCCAACAUCAACAAGCAGUACAGAGGGAUGUGCAAGAAAUAGCAGCUAAAGUCAGCCAACAUCAAGAAGCAGCACAGGGGGACUUGCAAUUAAUAGCAGUGGCUCUAACUAGUACCCAGCAGGCAAUAAACAAUACCUGGGGUUUAUUAGAUCUCAUUAGUACCAGAUUGUUAAAUCACUGACUUUUAAAGUCUACACCAUGGACCCACCCUGUAAAUUAUUCAAACACAAUGAUGGUACCUCCACUCGAGCUAAAUGGUUUCACUUUGAGGCUUUUAACCAGUGGGCUGCGCAAAUAAUAAACAAAUGCGAAGUUUUGCAUGCAAGACUUAGUAGUGUCGCUGUAGCAGACAGUCCUGUGUCUAAUGCACGUCCUUGUCCAACUCAUUCUGAAGCUGUUGCCGAUGAUGCUGUUUAUAUCGAUGUUGUUGCUCAUGCAACCGAUUCACAUCCAGAUAUGCUGCUGCUGCCGCUGCUGUAGGGACUGUUGUUACUCAGGCUACCGCUGAUUGUCUUAUUGCUGAGGCUUCUGUCACAGCUGAUCGGGAGUGUGCACCUGGCGUACAUGCGUAUCUGGGUGCCGCUACAGCUGCUGCUGACGCAUCACCACACAACCCCUC
This is a long non-coding RNA of Oreochromis aureus, 1735 nucleotides long. The record is from Ensembl. Lineage: Eukaryota; Metazoa; Chordata; Actinopteri; Cichliformes; Cichlidae.